Molecule: unclassified non-coding RNA, 250 nt
Filed under: plant metagenome
Description: partial contains small subunit ribosomal RNA, internal transcribed spacer 1, and 5.8S ribosomal RNA
Source: RNAcentral
GUAGGUGAACCUGCGGAAGGAUCAUUAACACAAAAAACAAUCCCAUAUCCACCCCUUUUUAUAACGAACUAUGAUUGAUUUGGGACUCGAUCAAAAGAGUCCCCGAUCCCUCAUUUUCUCCUCUUUAUUACCCUCUUAUUUUUACCCCAAAACAAACCAUAACAAACAUGCGAUAGACUGAUAUUUAUUUAUCAAAGAUAUAAUAAUCAAUGAUACAUAAAACAACUCUUAGCAACGGAUAUCUUGGCUC